UAGCCGUAUCGGAAGGUGCGGCUGGAUCACCUCCUUUCU
RNAcentral lists this ribosomal RNA (39 nucleotides) under Kineothrix alysoides. RNAcentral's name for it is "partial 16S ribosomal RNA". Lineage: Bacteria; Bacillati; Bacillota; Clostridia; Lachnospirales; Lachnospiraceae. The record is from RNAcentral.